CCUCCAAGAUACAAUUCACUUGCUCAUACCCUAGACAAAUGAACAGAACUGGUGUCAGUAUUCUGUGCUCCUGAGACACCUGAGCUCAUCUCCAAGGACUUUCUACCACUUCAUUUUGGAAACAACCUAAAUGUCCAUUGA
RNAcentral lists this long non-coding RNA (141 nucleotides) under Sus scrofa (pig). Its description in RNAcentral is "lncRNA (ENSSSCG00035047857.1)". The record is from RNAcentral. Lineage: Eukaryota; Metazoa; Chordata; Mammalia; Artiodactyla; Suidae.